AGGACGAACGCUGGCGGCGUGCUUAACACAUGCAAGUCGAGCGGAAAGGCUCCUUCGGGGGUACUCGAGCGGCGAACGGGUGAGUAACACGUGGGUAAUCUGCCCUUCACUUGGGGAUAACGUCCAGAAAUGGGUGCUAAUACCCGGUAUUCACAUGUGGUUGCAUGACUGUGUGUGGAAAGGUUUUCUGGUGGGGAUGUGCUCGCGGCCUAUCAGCUUGUUGGUGGGGUAAUGGCUUACCAAGGCUUUGACGGGUAGCCGGCCUGAGAGGGUGACCGGCCACACUGGGACUGAGACACGGCCCAGACUCCUACGGGAGGCAGCAGUGGGGAAUAUUGGACAAUGGGCGGAAGCCUGAUCCAGCAACGCCGCGUGAGGGAUGACGGCCUUCGGGUUGUAAACCUCUUUCAGUAUCGACGAAGCGCAAAUGACGGUAGGUACAGAAGAAGGACCGGCCAACUACGUGCCAGCAGCCGC
This 477-nucleotide ribosomal RNA is filed under the name uncultured bacterium. RNAcentral's name for it is "SSU rRNA". It matches the Rfam family "Bacterial small subunit ribosomal RNA", at positions 26 to 518 of the family's 1533-position model. The record is from RNAcentral.